UUUUUAAUUUUGAUUUCCACAUCAUAUAAGUAAGAGUGUAAACAUGAAAUAAAUAUAUUUUUAUAGUUAUUAUUUAACAGAAUUAUUAAUAUAUCUGUUAUUAAUAUAUAACUUACUGUACAAAUGAUAGGAAAAAUAUAUGAGAAAUGAUCAGGAAUGGCAUGAACAGCAUUUAAUUUUAGAAAAGGAACUUUAUUAAGCACAAAAACUGGUGUUGGAAAAAAAAACAUGAACUAAAUUAUAAUAAAAAAAACAUCUCAUUCUUCUACUGGUUCAAGAAAAGAGGAAUAUUUGAAUGAAGGAUCACAAGCACACCAUGAACAUGAAUUAUCUUAGAAAGAUAAGGAAAUAUUCGAACUUAAAAAAUCAAAGAAUGUAAUAUAGAGUCUAAGUGCAGAGACUUACAGUCAACAGAAAUGUACAAAAGAAAUGUAGCAACAGUAUCCGUUUGAUCUCGAUAACCUAAAUCAACAGUUAAUUAGAAUGUAAAACAUCAAUACCUUUUCGCACAAAUGUGAAGGAAAAUCUACCAUCGUUAGACCGACCGCCAUCUAUGGCUAAAAGAACACGCUCGUGUUCAUGAAUUCCUGGUACUUCACAGACGUUUUUAUUCAACAAUGGUGGCUUCGCACAAAUUCCAGAUUCCAUAUCCCCCGAAAAUGAAACGACACACUGAUAGAGUCACGUCGCCACGUCGGACACUUUUGUUGAAGCGCGCUAUUCAAACUACAAUAAAUACACAUUAAUUGUCGUUUCAUAUAUGCAUACUAUCAAUAUUUUUAAUACGGUAUGGUGGUAUACACAAGCUCUAUUUCACACCUCCCAUUCACGGUUGCUCAUAGGUACGUGGCCUGUUACAAUAUCAUCGAGGUAAAUCAACACAAAUUUACUAACCAACACUCGGAAUAGUAGGUAGUACACUAUUUGGUCGUACCAAAAACAAAAAAAAAUAUUGCUACACACAAAUACUAAUCCUAGUUUUAUCAACCAUGGAUUGGAAUCGAAGGUCUGUCACAACCUGCGCUAGUUUUAGUAUUACAUGGGCUCAGAUUUUAAUGCCCCAAAACUGUAAAAAAUAUUGGAAAAAAAUUCAUUUUAACUGCAAUAAUGUCCUUAAAAAUUUACCCAAAUUGUUUUUUAUAUUUUAUAUUUUAAUUGUAUACAAGUACAAUAAAAUAUAUAAGAUUAAAUUAUAUAAAGAUA
Long non-coding RNA from Aphis gossypii (cotton aphid), 1203 nucleotides. RefSeq lists it as uncharacterized. The record is from RefSeq and is a predicted model, not a curated record. The transcript is spliced from 4 exons. Lineage: Eukaryota; Metazoa; Arthropoda; Insecta; Hemiptera; Aphididae.